AGCCCCGUAGUAUAGCGGUCAAGUAUGCUGGCCUUUGGAGCCAGCGGCCCAGGUUCGAAUCCUGGCGGGGCUA
This 73-nucleotide transfer RNA is filed under the name Candidatus Pacearchaeota archaeon. Its description in RNAcentral is "tRNA-Gln". It matches the Rfam family "tRNA". From Rfam's summary of the family: Transfer RNA (tRNA) molecules are approximately 80 nucleotides in length. Their secondary structure includes four short double-helical elements and three loops (D, anti-codon, and T loops). Lineage: Archaea; Nanobdellati. The record is from RNAcentral.